UGGACAUGAUGUCAAACUGCCGUCCUGACCCACCAUGGAGGGAAAAGACUGAUUUAAUGAGGCUGAUCC
Molecule: small nucleolar RNA, 69 nt
Filed under: Falco tinnunculus (common kestrel)
Lineage: Eukaryota; Metazoa; Chordata; Aves; Falconiformes; Falconidae
Source: RNAcentral